CCAAUAGCGUAUAUUAAAGUUGUUGCAGUUAAAAAGCUCGUAGUUGAAUUUCGGGAUUGACGUGAUGGUCAUGCCUUAAGGGGUAUGAACUGUUGCAGUUGAUUUCUCACCUUCUGGAAAAACUUGAUGUCCUUAAUUGGGUGUCGCGGGGAACCAGGACCUUUACUUUGAAAAAAUUAGAGUGUUUAAAGCAGGCAUUUUGCUUGAAUACAUUAGCAUGGAAUAAUAAAAUAGGACGGCAUGAUUCUAUUUUGUUGGUUUCUAGGAUCACCGUAAUGAUUAAUAGGGAUAUGUGGGGGCAUUAGUAUUCAAUUGUCAGAGGUGAAAUUCUUGGAUUUAUUGAAGACUAACUACUGCGAAAGCAUUUGCCAAGGAUGUUUUCAUUAAUCAAGAACGAAAGUUAGGGGAUCGAAGACGAUCAGAUACCGUCGUAGUCUUAACCAUAAACUAUGCCGACUAGGAAUCAGACGAUGUUAAUUUUUUAAUGACUCGUUUGGCACCUUACG
This 506-nucleotide ribosomal RNA is filed under the name uncultured Entrophospora. Its description in RNAcentral is "SSU rRNA". It matches the Rfam family "Eukaryotic small subunit ribosomal RNA", at positions 591 to 1092 of the family's 1831-position model. The record is from RNAcentral. Lineage: Eukaryota; Fungi; Glomeromycota; Glomeromycetes; Entrophosporales; Entrophosporaceae.